CUGUAUAAAAUACAUAUGCCACAUUGCGUGAAAUAUAUAUAAUACGUUCACACGUAAUAUUAUAUUAACGCAUAUGACGGUUCCGUGAUAUAUAUUAUAUAUAUAUAUAUAUUGCGGUCCGUUUAAAUAUUGUCUAACGACACACGUUGAUUAUAUAUUUAUAUAUCAUACGACAAUGUUAGAGAUUAUUGUAAUAUUUGUCGAACGAUCGACGGUGUUACCGCCGAUGCGCUUUACGGCGUAAGGUUGGGACGCUUUCGACUCUUCGAGUUGACCGAGUGUGUGUGUCUGUGUGUGUGUGUAUGUAACAAUAUCACACACGCACGCGCGCGCGCAACAUAUACGAGAGGGUUGAUGGCGUGUGCAUGUUUUUUUGUAAUAAAUUAAACAAGUUCAACACCGUUCACAUGUCGCGAGACACAUGAAUAUUAUCAAUCUCUAUACAAUACAAUUGGCGUAUACACAAAGAUAUAUAAGGCUUGAAUCAUCGACAGUAGGCGGACUCGACGUCCGAAGAGCGCAUCGACGCCGUAGUCGUUAUCGAUCGUUAUUAUUGUAAAAAAUGUAACGUGUCGUAGCGGUUGCGUCGUCGUAACGCUGACGGAUAUCGCGUCUGCCUCAUUUUUUUAUCGUUGGCCUCAGAUCAGGGAGGAUCACCCGCCGAAUUUAAGCAUAUUAGUAAGCGGAGGAAAAGAAACUAACUAGGAUUUCCUUAGUAGCGGCGAGCGAACAGGAAAGAAGCCCAGCACUGAAUCCCGCCGUUGUUCAGGCGGCGGGAGAUGUGGUGUUCGGGAGGUUCCGCUUUCUCGUCGCGAUCGCUCCUGUCCAAGUUCGUCUUGAACGGGGCCGUUUUCCCGUAGAGGGUGCCAGGCCCGUAGCGACGGAGGAUCGCGGCGAGAGGGACUCUCCUUAGAGUCGGGUUGCUUGAGAGUGCAGCCCUAAGUGGGUGGUAA
Molecule: small RNA, 953 nt
Filed under: Catocala streckeri
Lineage: Eukaryota; Metazoa; Arthropoda; Insecta; Lepidoptera; Erebidae
Description: eukaryotic LSU rRNA
Rfam family: Eukaryotic large subunit ribosomal RNA (bases 634-953)
Source: RNAcentral